GGGGAAUUUGGGACAAUGGGCGCAAGCCUGAUCCAGCCAUUCCGCGUGCAGGAUGAAGGCCCUCGGGCUGUAAACUGCGUUUGGACGGAACGAAAAGCCGCUUUCUAAUACAGAGCGGUCAUGACGGUACCGUCAGAAGAAGCACCGGCGAACUACGUGCCAGCAGCCGCGGUAAUACGGAGGGUGCAAGCGUUAAUCGGAAUUACUGGGCGUAAAGCGUGCGCAGGCGGUGAUGUAAGACAGAUGUGAAAUCCCCGGGCUCAACCUGGGAACUGCAUUUGUGACUGCAUCGCUGGAGUGCGGCAGAGGGGGAUGGAAUUCCGCGUGUAGCAGUGAAAUGCGUAGAUAUGCGGAGGAACACCGAUGGCGAAGGCAAUCCCCUGGGCCUGCACUGACGCUCAUGCACGAAAGCGUGGGGAGCAAA
RNAcentral lists this ribosomal RNA (424 nucleotides) under uncultured bacterium. Its description in RNAcentral is "bacterial SSU rRNA". It matches the Rfam family "Bacterial small subunit ribosomal RNA", at positions 356 to 772 of the family's 1533-position model. The record is from RNAcentral.